This 791-nucleotide ribosomal RNA is filed under the name uncultured bacterium. Its description in RNAcentral is "bacterial SSU rRNA". It matches the Rfam family "Bacterial small subunit ribosomal RNA", at positions 8 to 796 of the family's 1533-position model. The record is from RNAcentral.
AGAGUUUGAUCAUGGCUCAGAUUGAACGCUGGCGGCAUGCUUUACACAUGCAAGUCGAACGGCAGCACGGGGGCAACCCUGGUGGCGAGUGGCGAACGGGUGAGUAAUGCAUCGGAACGUGUCCUUAAGUGGGGGAUAACGCACCGAAAGGUGUGCUAAUACCGCAUAAUCUCCACGGAGAAAAGCAGGGGAUCGCAAGACCUUGCGCUUUUGGAGCGGCCGAUGUCUGAUUAGCUAGUUGGUGAGGUAAAGGCUUACCAAGGCGUCGAUCAGUAGCUGGUCUGAGAGGACGACCAGCCACACUGGGACUGAGACACGGCCCAGACUCCUACGGGAGGCAGCAGUGGGGAAUUUUGGACAAUGGGGGAAACCCUGAUCCAGCCAUGCCGCGUGAGUGAAGAAGGCCUUCGGGUUGUAAAGCUCUUUCAGCCGGAACGAAACGGUCACGGCUAAUACCCGUGACAACUGACGGUACCGGAAGAAGAAGCACCGGCUAACUACGUGCCAGCAGCCGCGGUAAUACGUAGGGUGCGAGCGUUAAUCGGAAUUACUGGGCGUAAAGCGUGCGCAGGCGGUUUUGUAAGUCAGAUGUGAAAUCCCCGGGCUUAACCUGGGAACUGCGUUUGAAACUACAAGGCUAGAGUGUGGCAGAGGGGGGUGGAAUUCCACGUAGCAGUGAAAUGCGUAGAGAUGUGGAGGAACACCGAUGGCGAAGGCAGCCCCCUGGGUUAACACUGACGCUCAGGCACGAAAGCGUGGGGAGCAAACAGGAUUAGAUACCCUAGUAGUCC